RNAcentral lists this ribosomal RNA (1372 nucleotides) under uncultured bacterium. RNAcentral describes it as "bacterial SSU rRNA". It matches the Rfam family "Bacterial small subunit ribosomal RNA", at positions 28 to 1381 of the family's 1533-position model. The record is from RNAcentral.
GACGAACGCUGGCGGCGUGCCUAAUACAUGCAAGUCGAGCGAACGGACGAGAAGCUUGCUUCUCUGAUGUUAGCGGCGGACGGGUGAGUAACACGUGGAUAACCUACCUAUAAGACUGGGAUAACUUCGGGAAACCGGAGCUAAUACCGGAUAAUAUUUUGAACCGCAUGGUUCAAAAGUGAAAGACGGUCUUGCUGUCACUUAUAGAUGGAUCCGCGCUGCAUUAGCUAGUUGGUAAGGUAACGGCUUACCAAGGCAACGAUGCAUAGCCGACCUGAGAGGGUGAUCGGCCACACUGGAACUGAGACACGGUCCAGACUCCUACGGGAGGCAGCAGUAGGGAAUCUUCCGCAAUGGGCGAAAGCCUGACGGAGCAACGCCGCGUGAGUGAUGAAGGUCUUCGGAUCGUAAAACUCUGUUAUUAGGGAAGAACAUAUGUGUAAGUAACUGUGCACAUCUUGACGGUACCUAAUCAGAAAGCCACGGCUAACUACGUGCCAGCAGCCGCGGUAAUACGUAGGUGGCAAGCGUUAUCCGGAAUUAUUGGGCGUAAAGCGCGCGUAGGCGGUUUUUUAAGUCUGAUGUGAAAGCCCACGGCUCAACCGUGGAGGGUCAUUGGAAACUGGAAAACUUGAGUGCAGAAGAGGAAAGUGGAAUUCCAUGUGUAGCGGUGAAAUGCGCAGAGAUAUGGAGGAACACCAGUGGCGAAGGCGACUUUCUGGUCUGUAACUGACGCUGAUGUGCGAAAGCGUGGGGAUCAAACAGGAUUAGAUACCCUGGUAGUCCACGCCGUAAACGAUGAGUGCUAAGUGUUAGGGGGUUUCCGCCCCUUAGUGCUGCAGCUAACGCAUUAAGCACUCCGCCUGGGGAGUACGACCGCAAGGUUGAAACUCAAAGGAAUUGACGGGGACCCGCACAAGCGGUGGAGCAUGUGGUUUAAUUCGAAGCAACGCGAAGAACCUUACCAAAUCUUGACAUCCUUUGACAACUCUAGAGAUAGAGCCUUCCCCUUCGGGGGACAAAGUGACAGGUGGUGCAUGGUUGUCGUCAGCUCGUGUCGUGAGAUGUUGGGUUAAGUCCCGCAACGAGCGCAACCCUUAAGCUUAGUUGCCAUCAUUAAGUUGGGCACUCUAAGUUGACUGCCGGUGACAAACCGGAGGAAGGUGGGGAUGACGUCAAAUCAUCAUGCCCCUUAUGAUUUGGGCUACACACGUGCUACAAUGGACAAUACAAAGGGCAGCGAAACCGCGAGGUCAAGCAAAUCCCAUAAAGUUGUUCUCAGUUCGGAUUGUAGUCUGCAACUCGACUACAUGAAGCUGGAAUCGCUAGUAAUCGUAGAUCAGCAUGCUACGGUGAAUACGUUCCCGGGUCU